AUCAGUCUUACCAAAAACAGACUAGAUAGAUAACACUAACAGUAACAGUGGAGGGAAGGAGAAAUGGGUACGCAACAUUUACAACUGCCACUAACAUCAUCUUCUUCAUCUUCUGCUGGUCCGUCUUCCAUUUUAUCUCACCGCUACCGUUGUUCUAGCUCCACCACCACUUCACUGCCUUUCAAUCGCGCCACCACCACCACCAACCACCCUGCUAAUACUACUCUCUCUCUUUCCGUCAACCAUGUCAACCGCCGUCCCCGCCGUCGUUCGAUUCAACUCGCUCGUGUUGGUACGGAUGACUCGGUGGCUUGGGUUCCCGCUACCACUACCGCUUUUGAGGAAGAGGAAGGGGAAGACGAUGUAGAACCAGAACCUACUCCUGAGGAUCUGGAAUACAUUGCCCAAAUUAAACGAGUUUUGAAGCUGCUGAAGAAGAACAGGGACAUGCUUUUUGGAGAGGUCAAGCUGACUAUUAUGAUUGAGGACCCCAGAGAAGUUGAGAGACGAAGGUUGGUUGGAAUCGAUGAUUCUGAUGGACCAACAAGGGAGGAUUUGGCUGCUGUUUUGGAAGAAGUUAACGAAGGAAAAAUUCCACGAGAUCGUGAUGCUCUGCGUAUCCUUGCAGAGGAGAUGAUUAACUGGCCGAAUUUAGAGGCUGAACCUUCGAAGAAAACGACAAAGAACAAAUCGCUCUACGCAAAAGCAACUGAUACUGGUAUUGAUCCUGUAGUAGCUGCAAAGAGGCUCAACAUUGACUGGGAUUCAGCUGCUGAAAUUGAGCCACCAAAAACCAGUGAUGAAAGUGACGUGCCUCCAAUAUUGGGUAGCUGAGCUCCAUGCAAUGAUAUUAGACCAAGAAAAAAGCGGUGAGAACAGGACACCUAAAAUUUGGGAUAUGGAGCAUUGUACCUUGUCACCGGUUUUCCGGUCAUAAUCGGAGUUUCAGUUGUUUUGAUUUUAUUUUACAACUCCCUGCAGUAAAGAUAUGUUCAUACUUUUCUUUAUAGUGUAAAAGCUUCUUGUAUUCAUGAAUACAAUUAAUUAGGCUUACUGCUUGCCUAUCGUGUAUAUUGAGAAAAGCUUUUAGUUCUUCUGCUUA
RNA transcript from Spinacia oleracea (spinach), 1102 nucleotides. It is a transcript of the gene named ycf3-interacting protein 1, chloroplastic, with no coding region annotated. The record is from RefSeq and is a predicted model, not a curated record. The transcript has 7 exons. Lineage: Eukaryota; Viridiplantae; Streptophyta; Magnoliopsida; Caryophyllales; Amaranthaceae.